This 173-nucleotide non-coding RNA is filed under the name Geosporobacter ferrireducens. The record is from RNAcentral. Lineage: Bacteria; Bacillati; Bacillota; Clostridia; Peptostreptococcales; Thermotaleaceae.
AAUUAAAUCUACACUAUAGGUGCCCCUUUGGGGAGAAUAGGGAAUGAAGUGAAAUGCUUCAGCGGUCCCACCACUGUAAAGAGGAGUUUUGCACAUUUAACCACUGGUUUUCCGGGAAGGGGUGUAAAACGUUGAAUCUGAGCCAGGAGACCUGCCUAUAGAAAUCUAGCGUC